This 912-nucleotide ribosomal RNA is filed under the name uncultured bacterium. RNAcentral's name for it is "bacterial SSU rRNA". It matches the Rfam family "Bacterial small subunit ribosomal RNA", at positions 1 to 892 of the family's 1533-position model. The record is from RNAcentral.
CCCUUAGAGUUUGAUCCUGGCUCAGGACGAACGCUGGCGGCGUGCUUAACACAUGCAAGUCGAACGGGGUGUUUAUUUCGGUAAACACCAAGUGGCGAACGGGUGAGUAACGCGUAAGCAAUCUACCUUCAAGAUGGGGACAACACUUCGAAAGGGGUGCUAAUACCGAAUGAAUGUAAGAGUAUCGCAUGAGACACUUACUAAAGGAGGCCUCUGAAAAUGCUUCCGCUUGAAGAUGAGCUUGCGUCUGAUUAGCUAGUUGGUGAGGGUAAAGGCCCACCAAGGCGACGAUCAGUAGCCGGUCUGAGAGGAUGAACGGCCACAUUGGGACUGAGACACGGCCCAGACUCCUACGGGAGGCAGCAGUGGGGAAUCUUCCGCAAUGGGCGAAAGCCUGACGGAGCAACGCCGCGUGAACGAUGAAGGUCUUAGGAUCGUAAAGUUCUGUUGUUAGGGACGAAGGAUAAGGAUUAUAAUACAGUCUUUGUUUGACGGUACCUAACGAGGAAGCCACGGCUAACUACGUGCCAGCAGCCGCGGUAAUACGUAGGCGGCAAGCGUUGUCCGGAAUUAUUGGGCGUAAAGGGAGCGCAGGCGGGAAACUAAGCGGAUCUUAAAAGUGCGGGGCUCAACCCCGUGAUGGGGUCCGAACUGGUUUUCUUGAGUGCAGGAGAGGAAAGCGGAAUUCCCAGUGUAGCGGUGAAAUGCGUAGAUAUUGGGAAGAACACCAGUGGCGAAGGCGGCUUUCUGGACUGUAACUGACGCUGAGGCUCGAAAGCUAGGGUAGCGAACGGGAUUAGAUACCCCGGUAGUCCUAGCCGUAAACGAUGGAUACUAGGUGUGGGAGGUAUCGACUCCUUCCGUGCCGGAGUUAACGCAAUAAGUAUCCCGCCUGGGGAGUACGGCCGCAAG